GAAAUGCGAUAACUAAUGUGAAUUGCAGAAUUCAGUGAAUCAUCGAGUCUUUGAACGCACAUUGCGCCCCCUGGUAUUCCGGGGGGCAUGCCUGUCCGAGCGUCAUUGCUGCCCUCAAGCCCGGCUUGUGUGUUGGGCCCUCGUCCCCCGGCUCCCGGGGGACGGGCCCGAAAGGCAGCGGCGGCACCGCGUCCGGUCCUCGAGCGUAUGGGGCUUCGUCUUCCGCUCCGUAGGCCCGGCCGGCGCCCGCCGACGCAUUUAUUUGCAACUUGUUUUUUUCCAGGUUGACCUCGGAUCAGGUAGGGAUACCCGCUGAACUUAA
RNAcentral lists this unclassified non-coding RNA (322 nucleotides) under uncultured Aspergillus. Its description in RNAcentral is "sequence contains ITS1". The stretch from base 1 to 105 matches the Rfam family "5.8S ribosomal RNA", at positions 50 to 154 of the family's 154-position model. Lineage: Eukaryota; Fungi; Ascomycota; Eurotiomycetes; Eurotiales; Aspergillaceae. The record is from RNAcentral. RNAcentral also lists the same sequence under 1 other name.